UAAGCUUGAUAUGACUAGGUUCGAUGCGAGAUCGAUACCCGACCAUUCUUUGUUGUAUUGUGAGUUAAACAUCAGUGCCUCAUUACCGUCGUGUCAUACCGCAGGAAAUCGUAGUCCUGAAUUUAUUAAGUUUGAUGUAAAAAAACAUCCAUUCAAAUUUUUGUCACGGCGAUGAGAUACAUUUACGACUUUUAGAUACUAUCAAUGGUCUUGAAACAAAUGAAGUAUCCCAAUGUAAUAUUG
RNAcentral lists this long non-coding RNA (243 nucleotides) under Mytilus galloprovincialis (Mediterranean mussel). The record is from RNAcentral. Lineage: Eukaryota; Metazoa; Mollusca; Bivalvia; Mytilida; Mytilidae.